AGAAAUGUCACUCAGUAGUAAAGUGCUUGCCUAACAUGCAGGAGGCCCUGGGUUCAAAUCCUAGCACCACCA
RNAcentral lists this transfer RNA (72 nucleotides) under Fukomys damarensis (Damara mole-rat). It matches the Rfam family "tRNA". From Rfam's summary of the family: Transfer RNA (tRNA) molecules are approximately 80 nucleotides in length. Lineage: Eukaryota; Metazoa; Chordata; Mammalia; Rodentia; Bathyergidae. The record is from Rfam by way of RNAcentral.